RNAcentral lists this ribosomal RNA (352 nucleotides) under uncultured bacterium. Its description in RNAcentral is "bacterial SSU rRNA". It matches the Rfam family "Bacterial small subunit ribosomal RNA", at positions 527 to 881 of the family's 1533-position model. The record is from RNAcentral.
GGAAGGUCCGGGCGUUAUCCGGAUUUAUUGGGUUUAAAGGGAGCGUAGGCCGGAGAUUAAGCGUGUUGUGAAAUGUAGGUGCUCAACAUCUGCACUGCAGCGCGAACUGGUUUCCUUGAGUACGCACAAAGUGGGCGGAAUUCGUGGUGUAGCGGUGAAAUGCUUAGAUAUCACGAAGAACUCCGAUUGCGAAGGCAGCUCACUGGAGCGCAACUGACGCUGAGGCACGAAAGCGUGGGGAUAGAACAGGAUUAGAUACCCUGGUAUUCCACGCCGUAAACGAUGAUGGCUAACCGCCGGCGACACACUGUCNGUGGCCAAGCGAAAGCGAUAAGCCAUCCACCUGGGGAGU